ACAAUACAACGGACACGAUCCCUGCCUUCAAGGAGCCUCGAUCUUACCUUUUAACCUGGGAAACAGACACAAAAAUGUUUACAGGUAAUCUGGGAACCUAAAUGGUCAAGAUUAAACAAAAGUGGGAUCUUAUAA
Molecule: long non-coding RNA, 135 nt
Organism: Ornithorhynchus anatinus (platypus)
Lineage: Eukaryota; Metazoa; Chordata; Mammalia; Monotremata; Ornithorhynchidae
Exons: 2
Source: RefSeq, a predicted model, not a curated record